Molecule: ribosomal RNA, 834 nt
Filed under: Triticum aestivum (bread wheat)
Lineage: Eukaryota; Viridiplantae; Streptophyta; Magnoliopsida; Poales; Poaceae
Description: partial small subunit ribosomal RNA
Source: RNAcentral
AUGGAGCCGCCGCCUUCUCCGCUGGGCACCGGCGCCGGCGCUGUCUGCUGCAUGUGCGGCGAUCGCGGCCUGCCGCACGAGCUGCUCCGCUGCAAGCUCUGCCGCGUCCGCCUGCAGCACAGAUACUGCAGCGAUCUGUACCCGAGGGCCACGGCGUAUAGGAGGUGCAACUGGUGCCUGAGGGAGCCCGCAGAAGCCCACGCCCAACCCCACGCUCACCCGGUGGCUAGCAAGAAGGCGGACAAACGGAAGAUGGUGGCAUCAACGGAGACGUCCACCUCCGACGAGGAGGAGCGGCGGCAGCACGAGGCCGGAUGCGCCACUGCUACGAGGUCCAGGAGAUCGGCUGCGGAGGUUGGUAAGCCGGUCAAGAAGCCCAAGGUCGACGAGAGGCCACCGCUGCCCCCGUCGCCGGGCACGGCAGCGAAGGGGAACAGCGGCGACAAGAAGCCCAAGGUCGACGAGACGCCAGCGCUGCCUCCGUCGCCGCGCACGGCAGCGAAAGGGAACAGCGGUGACAAGAAGCCCAAGGUCGAUGAGAGGCCGGCGCUGCCUCCGUCGCCGGGCGCGGCAGCGAAGGGGAACAGCGGUGACAAGAAGCCCAAGGUCGACAAGAGGCCAGCGCUGCCUCCGUCGCCGGGCACGGCGGCGAAGGGGAACAACGGCGACAAGAAGCCUAAGGUCGACGAGUGGACGGCGCUGCCCCCGUCCCCGGGCACGGCGGCGAAGGGGAGCAGCGGCGACAAGAAGCCGAUGCAAGCGGGGAAGUUGGCGCGGCCGGGUAGGGUGAAGGUGAGGAGGUACAAGCUCCUGGCAGAGGUGAUUAGCUGCUAG